GGCAAGAUGGCCGAGUGGUCUAAGGCGCUGUGUGUUAGCCGCAGUCUUCAGGGGCGUGGGUUCGAAUCCCACUCUUGUCA
RNAcentral lists this transfer RNA (80 nucleotides) under Clonostachys rhizophaga. It matches the Rfam family "tRNA". From Rfam's summary of the family: Transfer RNA (tRNA) molecules are approximately 80 nucleotides in length. Their secondary structure includes four short double-helical elements and three loops (D, anti-codon, and T loops). Lineage: Eukaryota; Fungi; Ascomycota; Sordariomycetes; Hypocreales; Bionectriaceae. RNAcentral also lists the same sequence under 1 other name. The record is from RNAcentral.